This 466-nucleotide ribosomal RNA is filed under the name uncultured bacterium. RNAcentral describes it as "bacterial SSU rRNA". It matches the Rfam family "Bacterial small subunit ribosomal RNA", at positions 926 to 1391 of the family's 1533-position model. The record is from RNAcentral.
CAAGCGGUGGAGCAUGUGGUUUAAUUCGAUGCAACGCGAAGAACCUUACCUGGUCUUGACAUCCACGGAAGUUUUCAAAAAUGAUAAUGUGCCUUCCGGAACCGUGAGACAGGUGCUGCAUGGCUGUCGUCAGCUCGUGUUGUGAAAUGUUGGGUUAAGUCCCGCAACGAGCGCAACCCUUAUCCUUUGUUGCCAGCGGUCCGGUCGGGAACUCAAAGGAAACUGCCAGUGAUAAACUGGAGGAAGGUGGGGAUGACGUCAAGUCAUCAUGGCCCUUACGACCAGGGCUACACACGUGCUACAAUGGCGCAUACAACGACAACCGACCUCGCGAGAGCAAGCAGACCUCAUACAGUGCGUCGUAGUCUGGAUUGGAAUCUGCAACUCGACUCCAUGAACUCGGAAUCGCUAGUCAAUCGUGAAUCAGAAUGCCACGGUGAAUACUUUCCCGGGCCUUGUACCCACC